GUCGCCAUAGUUCAAUGGAUAGAACAAGAUCCUCCUAAGAUUUAGAUACAGGUUCGAUUCCUGUUGGCGACACCA
RNAcentral lists this transfer RNA (75 nucleotides) under Rhodoferax lithotrophicus. Its description in RNAcentral is "Rhodoferax sp. MIZ03 tRNA-Arg". It matches the Rfam family "tRNA". From Rfam's summary of the family: Transfer RNA (tRNA) molecules are approximately 80 nucleotides in length. Their secondary structure includes four short double-helical elements and three loops (D, anti-codon, and T loops). The record is from RNAcentral. Lineage: Bacteria; Pseudomonadati; Pseudomonadota; Betaproteobacteria; Burkholderiales; Comamonadaceae.